Theobroma cacao (cacao) is the source of this 156-nucleotide non-coding RNA. The record is from RefSeq and is a predicted model, not a curated record. Lineage: Eukaryota; Viridiplantae; Streptophyta; Magnoliopsida; Malvales; Malvaceae.
AAGAGAAAUUUGUUGAAUUUAAAGGAACAAAACAAUUAAAGGUGGUGAGCCCUCUGAUAAGGGUAAACCUAUUAUACCCGAGGACCAAGAAUAGGAGUACUCCAAACUCCCGCUAUUUGGGCGGGUUUCUGUGGACCAGCCUAUUAGAGGGGCACG